This 1659-nucleotide long non-coding RNA is filed under the name Triticum aestivum (bread wheat). Its description in RNAcentral is "long non-coding RNA (TAES_LNC003791)". Lineage: Eukaryota; Viridiplantae; Streptophyta; Magnoliopsida; Poales; Poaceae. The record is from RNAcentral.
UGAUGCUGGUUCGCCACCGAUUCGUGUUCCAAAACUUGACAACAAAUUAGACAAAACAAAACAUAUGAAUUAUGCCGACAAGGCAGCCAUGUAAAUUCGUGAUAUAUGACAGAUUCUUAGCUUGUUGUCAUACUUUGUUGAGCAAUCGAGUACAUUUUGUCCCUACGAAUCCUAGCUUUCCAGGAGCACAGAUUUGCAGAACUUUUACUCAAAGUACCUUGCGUUAUUAUUCAGAAUAUGACCCUUGAGAAAUCAUAUACAUGGAUGCUAGAGCUGGCAUGACGACCAGGCAGGAAAGUAACAUAAGUAGAAAAAAGUAAAUGUUGCAUGCAUGUUUCCAACUAAGUGCACUUCCGAGAUUCCAGGGCAGAUAAAUAACAUUGAAAUCGAUACCACUACAGUGAGAUUUCAUCAGAUGCUACUCCCCAAAUAUACCGACCAUGUAGAUAUCCGCCAAACUGAAAUUGUGAGCAAUCAGAAGUAGCACCAAUUUUUCAGAAAAAUAAACUGAAACAGGGGUAGAACUGAGGGGGGCAAAUCAGUAACAUUCAUUAUACAGCAGUGCAAACAAAGGAAAAUCGGUUGAAUUCAUCGAUCAUACAGUGGUGUACCAACUACAGUAACAUCAAAAACAACUACUGUGAGGAACACAGGCACCACAAGUUCACAACCAAAGCAGCAGGGCUGUUUUUGAAGGGGGGUCAAGGUAUUACAUACUUCUGGUGACAAUCCAUUGAUGAGAUCGCUAUUGAUGCCUUCCUUAUAAGAUUAGUCUUGUUCAGUGUUUGUGGUCGUGAUAACAUGAAAAUACCAAAGUAAAAAAAACAGAAAAUUACCUCCGGUCUAUUGGGGCAAUUGACCGAACAGUUGGCAUGCAAACGGCUGUAGCAGUAGUGUUUCUCAAAGAAAUAAAAACCUACUAUGUAAUGCAAUGUAGCAAAAAUGGUCGGAAGGCGUCAGUCACUACCAAAUGUUUUUUUUCAGCAUGGUCGUUACUAAGUGCUUGUGCAAGGUUCCUGCACAAGGUUUAUGCUAGUAAUGCUUGCAAGUCUUUUGUGUUAUUCUAUCCACCACAAGUCUAGAACAGUGACAAUCACACAGAAAUAGGUGUUGAACCAUCCUUCGGUACAAUACAUAUUUCAUUAGAUUCAGAUCAGAUAAGUAACAAUGACAGACAACCAAAUAACACUUCUAAUUUAAUUAUGCAGACUAACCUGAAACUAUUUUUUAGAUGAGCUAACCUGAAAAUAUUAAGCAGACCUGAAACUAACCUGACAGGAAACAGAUAUGGGGUGGAGCUGAUGGCAUGGAGGUUGGGCCUGAACCUUCCUUGGAGGGAGAAGAUGACCUGACGAGCUCUCCUCACUCCGCCGCAGCCACGAGCGCGGCGUGGUGUGGCCGAUGUAGGAGAGGAGACGGGAUGGAGGUGGGGGAGCUGAUGCUUCUUCGAUCCGGCGCUCGACGGGAGAGGACAAAGGAGGACGGGGCUCCGCCUGCCGCGCCCAUCCUCGACUCCGCCGCCCUCUCCCUCCGCGGGAACGCCGUGAUCCGGGGCUUCGCCCGACAAGGGCCUCCCGUGCGGCGCUCUGGCCGCCUUCAACUAGGAAAACGGCGGCGGCGGCGGCCAACCCUAUUUCGCGAAAGAGAGAGAGACGUGGG